RNAcentral lists this ribosomal RNA (440 nucleotides) under uncultured bacterium. Its description in RNAcentral is "partial 16S ribosomal RNA". It matches the Rfam family "Bacterial small subunit ribosomal RNA", at positions 338 to 795 of the family's 1533-position model. The record is from RNAcentral.
CCUACGGGUGGCAGCAGUGGGGGAUAUUGCACAAUGGGGGGAACCCUGAUGCAGCGACGCCGCGUGGGUGAAGAAGCGCCUCGGCGCGUAAAGCCCUGUCAGCAGGGAAGAAAAUGACGGUACCUGCAGAAGAAGCCCCGGCUAACUACGUGCCAGCAGCCGCGGUAAUACGUAGGGGGCAAGCGUUAUCCGGAUUUACUGGGUGUAAAGGGGGCGCAGACGGCGAUGCAAGCCAGGAGUGAAAGGCCGGGGCCCAACCCCGGGACUGCUCUUGGAACUGCGUGGCUGGAGUGCAGGAGGGGCAGGCGGAAUGCCUGGUGUAGCGGUGAAAUGCGGAGAUAUCAGGAGGAACACCAGUGGCGAAGGCGGCUUGCUGGACUGUAAAUGACGCUGAGGCUCGAAAGCGUGGGGAGCAAACAGGAUUAGAUACCCCGGUAGUC